This 496-nucleotide ribosomal RNA is filed under the name uncultured bacterium. RNAcentral describes it as "partial 16S ribosomal RNA". It matches the Rfam family "Bacterial small subunit ribosomal RNA", at positions 30 to 523 of the family's 1533-position model. The record is from RNAcentral.
AUUGAACGCUGGCGGAAUGCUUUACACAUGCAAGUCGAACGGUAGAGGGGGCAACCCCUCGAGAGUGGCGAACGGGUGAGUAAUAUAUCGGAACGUGCCCAGUCGUGGGGGCUAACGUAGCGAAAGUUACGCUAAUACCGCAUACGAUCUAAGGAUGAAAGCGGGGGAUCGCAAGACCUCGCGCGAUGGGAGCGGCCGAAAUCAGAUAAGGUAGUUGGUGGGGUAAAGGCUCACCAAGCCAACGAUCUGUAGAUGGUCUGAGAGGACGACCAGCCACACUGGAACUGAGACACGGUCCAGACUCCUACGGGAGGCAGCAGUGGGGAAUUUUGGACAAUGGACGCAAGUCUGAUCCAGCCAUUCCGCGUGCAGGAUGAAGGCCCUCGGGUUGUAAACUGCUUUUGUACGGAACGAAAAGGUCUCUCUUAAUACGGGAGGCUCAUGACGGUACCGUAAGAAUAAGCACCGGCUAACUACGUGCCAGCAGCCGCCGUAA